RNAcentral lists this long non-coding RNA (954 nucleotides) under Physcomitrium patens. Its description in RNAcentral is "long non-coding RNA (PPAT_LNC013322)". The record is from RNAcentral. Lineage: Eukaryota; Viridiplantae; Streptophyta; Bryopsida; Funariales; Funariaceae.
GAAAUUUCAAGGUUGAGAUUGUUGUCAAAAUUUUAGAAGUAGUUUGUUGCGGGUAAUCAACUUGAGAUCUGACGGUCUAGGGUUUAAGGUUAAAGUGUUGAGAGACCAUGAUAAAAUCGAGUUGCUAAACAUUCCAAUCGCACCAAAAGAAAGCAUGAUGGAGCUGCAGCCACUCGAAGUAACUUGGCUUACACUUCGAAGCUAACCCCAGCUUUCCCGGUGCACCAAGCAGGCCCCGACUCCAAAUGCAAGGAUUUCGACACAUUUCCAAACGUGGACUAUCUGCGCAAAUUUAGGAUAAUCGUCCACAAACGAAGGUCAAGGAAGGCGUGGAAAGAUCCUGAACUGUAUCCGACGCGGCAUCGCAAUCCACCUGAGCUCCUUCCUCACUUACGAAGGGCGAUCUGAUGAAAGCCUUCAAACGACGGAACACAGUGCCCUCAAGUAGGCUGCUUUGAACGCAGCAACUAAAAGAUUUCCUUUCAGUCUCCAGUACUUUGUUCCCCUCCCAUCGCCCUAACAACACCCAGUACUUCCGCAAGAUUGACCUGCUGCAAACGCAUUUACGCAGCCCCGUUGAAUCAUAAACCCUAAUUUUCGCAAGGUGAGGGUUCCCAGCCCAAAGCGGAUCUCACCACCCAAAAAUUGACAGACAGGGAAUUCACCUCCGAGCCUGACUAACUCUGAGGUCCGGUCCAGACCUAGGAGUGCUCCGGAACCGAACCUGAGAUUGGUUCGGGAGCCAUAAGUGGGAAGAAGGAGAAAAAAAGUUGAAGUGAGCUUUCACAUUGAAGGCCAAAAGAGGGGAUGUGAUGUGAAGAAGCCCCAUCCUCAUGGGGAAGGGACCAUACUGAAUGGGGCUUCAAUGCCAGCAUGGCACCAGAAGCCUCAUAGGCUUGCAAUGGAACCAACCCAGCACAGGGUCCAGUACCUUCCGGAAGGACUUGUCCCUGU